UUCUCAUGUCUGCUCUGUCUUCAGAUUUUGCUCCUGACUCUGAAUUUCUAUCCCUGCAGUUGUGACCUUCAGCACCUAUCCAGUGUCUUUUAAGAAUUUUCUCAUCCAGGGAACAGAUUCGUUUGCUUAAUAAUUGUAGAAAUGUGCAGAAUGGUGCCCAACUGUGAGCUGGAAACGGGGAUCGUGCCUGUAGUUUCAACCCAAGCAAAGGGUCUACAGGAGUGUUGGUCACCCAUUGAUUAA
RNAcentral lists this long non-coding RNA (243 nucleotides) under Ficedula albicollis (Collared flycatcher). RNAcentral's name for it is "lncRNA (ENSFALG00000023457.1)". Lineage: Eukaryota; Metazoa; Chordata; Aves; Passeriformes; Muscicapidae. The record is from RNAcentral.